GUAUAGUAUCCCGUAAGGGAAGUGAACCCGGUGAACUGAAACAUCUAAGUAGCCGGAGGAAGAGAAAACAAAAGUGAUUCCGGGAGUAGUGGCGAGCGAAACCGGAUUAGCCCAAACCAGUGUUGUUUCGGCAAUACUGGGGUUGUAGGACCACGACAUUGAUUGCGUAAUGAAUUAGAACACUUUGGAAAGAGUGACCGAAGAGGGUGAUAGUCCCGUACAAGUAAAGAGCGUUAAUUAUAGUGGUAUCCUGAGUAGUGCGGGGCACGUGAAACCCUGUAUGAAUCAAGCGGGACCAUCCGUUAAGGCUAAAUACUCCUGAGAGACCGAUAGUGAACCAGUACCGUGAGGGAAAGGUGAAAAGAACCCUGAAUAAGGGAGUGAAAAAGAUCCUGAAACCAUACGCUUACAAGCGGUCGGAGCCCGUAAGGGGUGACGGCGUGCCUUUUGCAUAAUGAGCCUACGAGUUACUUUUACUAGCAAGGUUAAGCACUUCAGGUGCGGAUCCGUAGCGAGAGCGAGUCUGAAUAGGGCGACCAUAGUUAGUAGUAGUAGACGCGAAACCGUGUGAUCUACCCAUGGGCAGGUUGAAGCUUUGUUAACCC
This 605-nucleotide ribosomal RNA is filed under the name uncultured bacterium. Its description in RNAcentral is "bacterial LSU rRNA". It matches the Rfam family "Bacterial large subunit ribosomal RNA", at positions 143 to 762 of the family's 2925-position model. The record is from RNAcentral.